GAUGAACGCUGGCGGCGUGCCUAAUACAUGCAAGUCGAGCGAACGGACGAGAAGCUUGCUUCUCUGAUGUUAGCGGCGGACGGGUGAGUAACACGUGGAUAACCUACCUAUAAGACUGGGAUAACUUCGGGAAACCGGAGCUAAUACCGGAUAAUAUUUUGAACCACAUGGUUCAAAAGUGAAAGACGGUCUUGCUGUCACUUAUAGCUGGAUCCGCGCUGCAUUAGCUAGUUGGUAAGGUAACGGCUUACCAAGGCAACGAUGCAUAGCCGACCUGAGAGGAUGAUCGGCCACACUGGAACUGAGACACGGUCCAGACUCCUACGGGAGGCAGCAGUAGGGAAUCUUCCGCAAUGGGCGAAAGCCUGACGGAGCAACGCCGCGUGAGUGAUGAAGGUCUUCGGAUCGUAAAACUCUGUUAUUAGGGAAGAACAUAUGUGUAAGUAACUGUGCACAGCUUGACGGUACCUAAUCAGAAAGCCCCGGCUAACUACGUG
Molecule: ribosomal RNA, 497 nt
Filed under: uncultured bacterium
Lineage: Bacteria
Description: partial 16S ribosomal RNA
Rfam family: Bacterial small subunit ribosomal RNA
Source: RNAcentral